UUCUCCUGAGAGAGCGCAACAUCUUCGGUUUAAAAGCCUACAAUCAGCUAAUUUCCAUUCUCCUUUCUCCUUUCUCCUUCCAAUUUCCCAUUUGUUAAAUAUCAAUGGAUAUGUAAUCAGUGUCUUCAUCAGUAAUCGAGUCUUCAUCACUAAUCGCCUUUUAGUUUCGGAUUUUUGAGGUACGUGUCUUCACUGCUCAAUUUUUGAGGUAUGUGUCUUCAUCACUAGACACUAAUCACUAAUCAGUUUCAGAUUUCAUCAUUGUCUCAACAUUCGAUUCUCCUUCACCACCAAUCAGUUUCAGAUUUCAUUUUGUCUCAGCAUUCGAUUCUCCAUUCACCAUCAUCUACGGUUUAUCAAUAUUCGAUUUACGAGGUAUGUUCUUUAUUAUAUACUCGCAUUCCAUUUAUUAAUCUGAUCAUUUUUUGAUGAAAUAACAUUGAACUUAACUGUGGUAUAAUCUAUUCUUGCUGAAUCAUUGGUUGUGUUGCUGAAUUGUUGAUUGUAUUUCACUGUGUUUGAGUUUUUUAUUCAAAUAUGCCAAUGUAUACCAACUAUUCGAUGAAAUGCGUAAGUAAUAAUGUGUAUUAAUUUUCCUUCGAAUUUCAAGUGUCAAUAUGUGAAAAUGUGGAGUUCCAUUAAUCUAUGACACGGUCCUAUUGAAUCAUGAAAGGUAACAAGAUUUCCAAGAAGAACAACCUCAGCGGAUAUUAUUUAUCCUGAUAUUCUGGCUUUAGAACCCAUUAUGAUCCAAUGGAGUUUUUCUGCAACAAAGCUAUCACCUUGAGAAGAUUCUUGAACAAAGGCAAAUCUUUUGAAGAUAUAUUGUCUUUGAAGUGAUCCACUAUGCUGGCUGAAGUUGAGCUACCACCUUUUUGCUGAAUGAAAGAACAUAUUUGACGAAUCAGAAGUUCUGGAAGUACUCCAACAUUGCUUGCUGAUCUAGAAUGCCCAUUAGUUGCUGACCGUUUUCUUCCAUUGCAGGGUGUACCAAUGGCUAGCUGAUGUGAUAAGUUAUAUCUGCAACUCAUGUUAUAUAAAUGUUGGGUUAAUUUUAGUUUCUUUCCAGAUUUGGUUUAUAAAAUCAUCAUGACUUAUUAACAACUUUGUUCAUAACCUUUACAUAUUGUAUCAAACAUAACAUCACAUAUAACUUUCUGCACUAGAAUGGUGAUAUACCUCGCAUCACACCUAUUUGUUAUUCUAUCAAAAUAUUAAGAAAUUAUGAGUUAUUUUCUGACAUUGGGUUGUCCUUGAUUUUCAG
RNAcentral lists this long non-coding RNA (1264 nucleotides) under Salvia miltiorrhiza (redroot sage). RNAcentral's name for it is "long non-coding RNA (SMIL_LNC000734)". Lineage: Eukaryota; Viridiplantae; Streptophyta; Magnoliopsida; Lamiales; Lamiaceae. The record is from RNAcentral.